This 1208-nucleotide long non-coding RNA is filed under the name Mustela putorius furo (domestic ferret). RNAcentral describes it as "lncRNA (ENSMPUG00000028942.1)". Lineage: Eukaryota; Metazoa; Chordata; Mammalia; Carnivora; Mustelidae. The record is from RNAcentral.
AUGAUGGCACCCAAGGGAAGCCCCCCCACCCCACCCCGUGGCAGAAAGUGCUGGAAAGCCUCAGUGCCUUAUGGGCAAACUCUCCCUCAGACAACGGUUUGCUGCCAGGAAACAGAUGUCCUGAAAUCCACCACUAAGUCCAGGCCACAAUGGGAAAGGAAAAGACAUCAAUAUCCCCUUCGCUGGAUGUGUAGACCUGGGCAGGUGUACGGAUCCCGGCCAUCUACAAACAUGGUGGGAUCCACAAAAGAACCAAUGAAAAAUUUGAGAAGGUGGCUGCUGAGAUGGGAAAGGAGUCCUUCAACCCUGCCUGGGUCGUGGAUAAACGGGAAGCUGAGUGUGGUAUCGUCAUUGAUCUAUCUGUGGAAUAUUCAAGAACAGCAAGUGUCAUGUUAGCAUCACUAUUGCCCCAGGACACACAGACUUAAUCAAAAACACGAUCACAGACAUAUCUCAUGGGCUGACUCUGCCCCCCUGAUUGCUGCUGCUGGGGUUAGUGAAUUUGCACCAGGUACUUCCAAGAAUGGGCAGACCUGCGCACAAGUGCUUCUGGAUUCCACAUGGUGUGCAAACCCACUGAUUGUUGAUGUUAACAAAGUGGAUUCUUUUUUUUUUUAAUAUUUUAUUUAUUUAUUUGACAGACAGAGAUCACAAGUGGGCAGAGAGGCAGGCAAAGAGCGGAAGGGAAGCAGGAUCCCUGCUGAGCAGAGAGCCCGAUUCGGGGCUCGAUCCCAAGACCCUGAGAUCAGGACCCUGAGAUCAGGACCUGAGCUGAAGGCAGAGGCUUUAACCCACUGAGCCACCCAGGUGCCCCAACAAAGUGGAUUCUAUUGGAGCCUCCCAACAGCCAGAAGAGAUAUGAAGACGUUAAGGAAAGCUACAUCUACAUUAACGAAAUUGGUUACAACCCUAACACAGUGGCAUUUGUGCCAGUUUCUGGUUGAAUGGUGACAGCAUGCUGGAGUCAAGUGCUAACACGCUUUGGUUCGAGGGAUGGAAAAUCACCUGUAAAAAGACAAGGGCAGUGGAACCAUGAUGCCUGAUGCUCUGGACUGCAUCCUGUCACCAGCUCAUGCAACUGACAAGCUCUUGUGUCUGCCCCCCUCGGGACAUCUACAAAACUAGGGCUAUGGGUUCCCUUUGCUCCAGUCAGUGCUACAAUAAGUAUAACUGAAGCUUUUCCCUCUCCCUGUGCUCCUCCCGCACCC